GUAGGNGGCAAGCGUUGUCCGGAUUUACUGGGUGUAAAGGGCGCGUAGGCGGNGAGACAAGUCAGAUGUGAAAUCUAUGGGCUUAACCCAUAAACUGCAUUUGAAACUAUCUNUCUUGAGUGAUGGAGAGGCAAGCGGAAUUCCUAGUGUAGCGGUGAAAUGCUUAGAUAUCACGAAGAACUCCGAUUGCGAAGGCAGCUUACUGGACUGUAACUGACGCUGAUGCUCGAAAGUGUGGGUAUCAAACAGGAUUAGAUACCCUGGUAGUCCACACAGUAAACGAUGAAUACUCGCUGUUUGCGAUAUACAGCAAGCGGCCAAGCGAAAGCAUUAAGUAUUCCACCUGGGGAGUACGCCGGCAACGGUGAAACUCAAAGGAAUUGACGG
This 387-nucleotide ribosomal RNA is filed under the name uncultured bacterium. RNAcentral describes it as "bacterial SSU rRNA". It matches the Rfam family "Bacterial small subunit ribosomal RNA", at positions 527 to 916 of the family's 1533-position model. The record is from RNAcentral.